CGUAAGUACAAUCAUUAGUUUCCACGCCCAACUUUAAUUGUUUGUAUUAUUUGAAAAUUUUUCGUAAUUAGUAUUUUUAUUGUUAUGUGAUAAUAAAAUAUGAAUAGUAUUUUAUACGUGACUUUAUAUUUUUAAUUUUUUUAAAAAAAUUAAAUAAGAUAAACGGUUAAAAUUAGGCAUGAGUUUAUAGAUGUGAAUAAU
Non-coding RNA from Oryza nivara, 201 nucleotides. Lineage: Eukaryota; Viridiplantae; Streptophyta; Magnoliopsida; Poales; Poaceae. The record is from Rfam.